Molecule: long non-coding RNA, 7272 nt
Filed under: Manihot esculenta (cassava)
Lineage: Eukaryota; Viridiplantae; Streptophyta; Magnoliopsida; Malpighiales; Euphorbiaceae
Description: long non-coding RNA (MESC_LNC005840)
Source: RNAcentral
CCCCUCCAUACUUAGCAGAACCCUUCAUUGGUGGAAGGACUUUUGAAAUGAGAUCAGCUACAGGGAUGAAACCACUACCAGCUGCAUCAGGAGCAGCAGGUAAUCCCAAGAAAAUCUUGUUAGCUGGGAUAUCCGAAGUCCAUUGCUUCCAUGCAUCUUCAAGAUUGGUAAUAUUUCCAGAGGAGUAUUGGCAGGGAGGGUUGUUGUAGAAUUGGACCCAAACAUAGUCAAAAAGACCUGUCUUAAGGGCAUUCCCUACCCAUGCAUCAGGAAAUGGGCACUGGGGAGCUGCAGUUAAGUAUACUUUUUUACCUUUCUUGCCAUAUGCUGAAAGGAACCUUGCAAGAUCGUCCCAGUGUUGGUUUGUUCCUCCUUCAAUGUCAAAAUCAAUCCCAUCUAGAACAGCUGGUCCAAGUGGUCGAGACGACGAAUGACCCCCCAAGAAGUUAUUCCAAAGGUAAGUGGCAACCUGUCUAGCAUCCUCAGUGGAUGCAAGAUAAUAACUCCCAGCUCCUCCUCCAAUAGAAAGCAUCACCUUGAUACCUUUGGCUUGACAUGAUUUGAUGUCAGAGCUUAAGCCUGUACAGCCAUUGCUGUAUGGAUCACAAUGGCCAGCGAGGUUAAGCAUAGGAGUCUGACCGUUGCCAAAAGUGGGCAAGAAAGCUAAGUUUACAAAUUGAUAGUUUCCUGUGGCACAAGUCUCAGCCAAGGUCCCUUCAUUUCCGUUCUGACCCCAAUAGAUUGCUAUUCCACCAGCAUCAGAACCCAAAAGUAGUGUUAAAAUCACCGACAAGAAGAAUAGUACUAAGAUUGAUGAACUUGAUGCCAUUCUUAAAGAGAACUAGAAAUAUUUUGAAGCACUAGCUAGUAUAUACUUCUCAGGAUUUUCUGCUUUGGCACUACAACGCUCAAAAGAAUUUCCUUUUAUAGGUAAAAAUGAUCCCAUUCUGAUUGAUACGAUCUUGGUAUUUGUUCAAUUGCGUGCCUCAGCAGUUGCUUCAUUACGCCUGAGAUGGACGAACAGAUGACAACUAAUUUACUGAUACAACAAGUUUUCAUUCACAUCUUCAAAUCUAUUCCUGAUGACCACUUUCCACACCUUGAGUUGUUGUCUGCUCUCUACUGUUUUUGUAUAUUUUCUUUGCAUAGUUUUCUGAAAUUGUCUGUACUUGUUUGCUAUUAAUAGAAAAAGACAAACAUUACAUGUACAAAAGCUUAAUCAUGUUCUGAGCAUCUUGGGUUGUUGUCAUGUAUUUGUCCACUUUUACUUUUAUCUGUCUCUGCGUUUUCACAAUCAGUUGAAUAAUGACAAACGAUAAAAUGCGCUAAUGGAUUCAGCAGCUGACAAGGAAAGUUGAAAUUCUGAUCAGGUUGAGUUCAAGUUUGUCCCACUUCCACAAGUAUUUGUCCCCAAAUCAACAGAAACAUAACACAGUAGUCUUCAUUCAUGUGAUUGUAAAUCCAGAUUCUAUUAAUCGUCUCGGUCAAAUGGCACAAGAAGUUUAUAUGGAUCACAACAGUUGUUCAGGGCAUUUCUUUUAAGAAUGUCCAAAAUUAGCAAGUGAUAAUGCUUUAUCAGAGCAGGAUGAACGCUAAAUUUGCAGCCAUCUAGUUCAUUAGACUUAAUGAACUGUGUCCCUUCUUUAAAUUCAAGAAUUAUAUAAGAAUUUAAUUAAAUUGAUUUUUUUUUGUUAAUUCUCAAAUAAAAGAGAAUUUUAAAAAAAUAGAAAUUAUAAAAAUAAAAAUUAUGAACAAUUUAGAUUGUUAAAAAAUAUAUUUUAUAACACAUAUUUUUCAUAGACAAUAUUUUAUAACUACAAGUUAUUUUUCUCGAAUGAGUAGCCUUAGAGUGUGUUCUAUAACAUUGCAGAAUUUUUGUUUUUAAUUUUUUUAUUCUUAUUAUUUAUCUUUUAAAAGCUAUUUUUAAAAAUUGACCGUCAUAAAAUAAAGUUAAUAACUUGUCAUAUAAAAAAUAUGUAAUAAAAUAUUUUAGUAAUAAAAUAAGGAUAAAUAAUUUUAUAAAUAGUUACAUAUAAAAAUGAAUAAAUUAUUUUUAUAAAAUAUAUAAUAUUAUAAUAAUAAAUGAUAUUAUUAUUUAGUCUUAUAAUAUAAGAAAAAGUUUUGAAAAAUACAAGUUGUAAAAGUCUCUUAGCUAAUUUUAACAAUUAAAUGUUAUAAAAAUUUAUAAAAAAUAAUAUUUAUAGUUUAUGUUUUUGAUAGUAAAAGUAAAAUCGAUCAACGAACAAAAUUUUUAUUUUUUUUUUAUCAAAUAAAAAUAACAAACAGAAAACCACGCCACGAAACCAAACGCCUCCUGUUAGUUUUUAUUUUGAAAUAAUUAUUAUCCUAUCCUGUAGUUUAUCUAAGUACUUCAAAUAUUUUUAUAGUUUUAAAAUUAUAUUAAAAUAUUUUUAUAUUUUGAUUCUAUUAAUUAAAAAGAACAUCAACUGGUUAAAAUUUUUCUAAAUAAUUAAAAUGCUUUUAUAAUUUUUAUAUUAUAUUAAAAUAUUUUUAUAUUUUUAUUAUAUUAACUAAAAAUGACAUUUAUUAAUUUUUAUUAUCAAUUUUUAUUGUUAGUUUAUUAGUUAAAUUUGAAAAAAGUUUUUUAUAUUCAUAUUUUCCUCUUAACAAAUAAAAUUCACAAUCUACAUCUCUUUUUGAACUCUCCAUAUUCUUUCUUAUUAUGAUAUUUUGCAUCUCUAUAUUUUUUCUAAAAAAAUAGAGAUUUAUAAUUAAUAAUAGAAUAUUGACGAUAAUAUAAUAUUAUCAAUCAAUAAAAUUUAAUAUUCCUUCUUUAUUAAUUAUAUUUGUAGACAAUACGAUCAAUCAUGAGCUUACUGAUAAAAUUGGUGAAUAGUAAGUUUUAUUUAAUAUAUGAUGUUAAUUUGGACAUAUAAUUAUUAUUUUUAAUUUUGAUCAAUAAAUUAAAACAAAAAUAAUAGAAACUAACGAAUAUUUUUUUAGUUAAUAAGAUAAAAAUAUAAAAAUAUUUUAAUAUAAUUUUAAAAUUAAAAAAUAUUUUAAUUAGUUAAGACAAAUUAUAAGAGCAUAAUAUUAAAAUUUUUUUAACUUUAACUAAUAGACUAAUGGUAAAAUGAAAAAAAAUGUAAUGAAUAUAAUUUUUAGUUAUAGAAUCAAAGUAUAAGAGUAUUUUAAUAUAAUUCUAAAAUUAUAAGAAUAUUUUAAUUAAUUAGAAUAAACUAUAGAGGUAUGAUAGUAAUUUUUUUUUAUUUUUUUUAUUCGACGAAAUGAUUGAAUGCGCUAAAUAUCACAGUUUAGGCUAAAAGUUGGAGUGUAAAUGAAUAAAACUUUUCGUAACCUAUUCAAAGUUCGGUUCAAUAAAAGCUCCACCGAAUUAGACUCGAUUUUUAAACGAGUUAAGUUCGAGCAUAAUUUUAAAACUCAUUUAAUAAACAAUCUAAACUUGAGUUAUAUAAUAUUUAGCUCGUUAACGCUUGUGAGCACAUCUCAUUUCCGAGUUUAUGAACAAACUCGUAAAGAGACUUGUGAACAGUUUCGUGCAGGCUGAGACUAAUAUUAUAAGAGAAAUAAACUCAAAUUUUGUAUAUAUUUUCAUGAACUAAAUCUAAAUAUUUUAAAACUCUAUAUAAUUUAAUUAUAUUAUUAAGAUUUGCAUGUAUUUGGAUAGUUAAAAUUUAAGAGUUCAUUUUUAUAAAUUUACAAACUAAUUUAUAUAUGUAAUUAUUUAGCUAAAAUAAUUUAUUUUUAAAAUUAUUAAUUUUAAAUUAAAACUCAUUAUAUUAAUAAAUUGAAUUACUUAUUAACUAUUAUAGACUAAACACAAUAAAAAUUUGACUCGUUUAAAUUCAUUUGUUAAAUAAAUUAAAUUUAAAUUUAUUAAUAUUCAAUUUAAGUUCGAAUUGAAUAAAAUUUAAAUUUAACUGAAAAAUAAAAAAAAAACAAACUAAAUUUAAACUUUCCAAAUCUCGGCUAGGUUAUUUUUACACUCAAUCUUUUAUUUCUUUAAAGAAUCGGUUGCGAUCCCAUCAUCACUCAAUUAUUAAAUGUAAAAGUCAGGAAUAUUUUAAUUUAGUUUUAAAAAUCAUCACUCAAUUAACAAAACGUGUAGGAAAUAUGUUAAUUUAUUUUUAAAAAUAUAAAAAUCUACAAUAAUAUCUAAAAAUUAAAUUAUAAAUUUCUCUAAAAAUUUAAUAGGAUACAAGUUAAAUUCCAUUGAAAUUUAACCCUUAAUCUUCUGCUUCCUCCGAUUUUCAUACUGGGCCGGGUUUGAAAACUAUACUUGACGCUGAAUUUGGCAGGUUGCGUACAAUUUUUGGGUUUUAAUUAAAUAAAAGACUUGCCUGGAAUUUUUUUCCUUUUUUUUAAAAAAAAAAUUGAAAGAAUUCAUAUUUCUUUUGAUUCAACCUUAAUUUUCCAUCGAUACUUAGACUAGAACUAAAUUGAAAUUGUAUAAUCAAAUCAAACUUAACUAGAGAUUAAUUUUUAUAUAUAUAAAAUUAAUUAAUAGACUUUUUUUAAAAUUAAUGAUCAAUUAAUAAAAAUUAAAUAAUAAAAUAUUUAUCGAUUAAAAUUAAUAAAUUUUUAAAAUAUAAAAAAUGUUCUAACAUAUUUUUCUCUUUUGAAAUCAAUUUUCUAUAAUAUAUAUAGAUUAAAUAAUAAAUUUUGUUAAUAAAAAUAUAUCCUUAAAAUUAUCUUAAAUUAAUGAUAUAUCAUUAUCUUCAUCGUCUUGCAAUUACCCAAGACCUAAUUAUCCACCAUCAUCCUCCAUUAAUUAUUAUUCUUCAGCCCUAUAUAAGGGUUAUAAGGACACUUCAAAAUCAUCUUCUUCUUCUUCUUCUAUCUCAGCUAAACGCUCUCUCAAAAGCCUUAAAGAAGCCUCCCUACCAGACAAUCCAAAUAUUUAUGACUUUGCUGAAAUCUGCAGAGCUACCAACAACUUCCUUUCAGAACCCUUCUCUUCCUCUCCCUCUUGCACCUCUUGGCGCUGCCAGAUUCGCCAGAAAGAUGUUAUUCUUUUCCAGCGCAAGUUCCGGCGCGUUGACCCCAUUAGAUUAUCGGAGCUCCAGCAGCUGUUAUCCACUAUCUGCAUGAGUCACCAUAAUAGCUUGAUUAAGCUUCUGGGUGUUGCCACUUCAGGGAAUUGUAUAUUUCUUGUUUACGAAUACGUUCAUGGAGCCAGUUUAGCUACUUGUCUUAGAAACCCACAGAAUCCCAGUUACACAGUACUGUCAAAUUGGCUCUCGAGGAUGCAUAUGUAAUAGUUUUUAAAUAUGGCAUGUCAGCAGCUCACGUCAAAUAUGGCAAUGCCAUUAACAUGCUAUAUUAGAGGUGGCGAUAACAUCAGCAUAUGUAAUGAUAUCAGUCACUAUAUCCUCAGAAUGGUAAUGAUGCAAAAGUUCAAACUCUAAUAUAAAAUGAGAGUUACUUUAGUGUCUAAAGGGGAAAAAUGUGAAAAUACAAGUAAUUAAAAUUUUUUUUUUUUCCUUUAUUUUUCCUAUUUCAAAAAUCUAAUAAAAUUUAAAAGGAAUUGUAUAAUUAAUUUAGAGAAAGUAUAUCUAUAUAAAUAAGCAAGUAUAAUGAUUUUUAAAUAACCGCAGUUACGGAAAAGAUAUAUAUAUAGUUAGGAUAAUAAAUCCUAAACUGAGAUUUAUGCUAUCUUCUAGUAAAAUCAACAAAAAUUUCAAGGUAAGAUACAAUUUCUGAAAUGAUAAGAGACAAGAGAACUAAUGUUUGAUUAGUGAAUUUCAGUCACCAAAUAGGUAUAAAGUAAGUAUAUAUCUAAAGUAAAAAAUUAUUUUUAAAUAAAAAAUUUAUUUAAAUUCGGUACACCUUAUCAAUAGGUUGCUCUGUUCACUUUAUUUUUCUUUGGCAUACCGAAGGAUAGAUGUUGCAUAUCAUCUCAUUUGUGAUUGGUCCAGCUUAAACACGAUAUCUAUUUAUUGUCCUUUAUGCGUUUUUAUAUUCCAAGACUUUCUUUCUUUUUUUUUUUUUUUUCUAAGUCUGAAUUUACAAUGGGUAUGAAUUCUGCCCAAGAACAACAAUGAGAUAAAGAAGAUGAAACAAUAUAUUAGACAUAAUAUAAAUACAUUGAGAGUAACAAUAGAAAAGCAAAGAAAGAUCGAUCAUAAACAAAUAUUACACACAAUUCUGGACUUAUUUACGUAGGACUUCCAUAGAGAUACAUCUGCAUACAAACAGUAAAGCUUAGAUAGAGCCUUUGAUGGCCUUGCUGUAACCGGUUUGAUCGUCGUAAUACUUGGACCACAGCAUAACCCCUCCAUACUUAGCAGAACCCUUCAUUGGUGGAAGGACUUUUGAAGUGAGAUAAGCUACAGGGAUGAAACCACUACCAGCUGCAUCAGGAGCAGCAGGUAAUCCCAAGAAAAUCUUGUUAGCUGGGAUAUCCGAAGUCCAUUGCUUCCAUGCAUCUUCAAGAUUGGUAAUAUUUCCAGGGGAGUAUUGGCAGGGAGGGUUGUUGUAGAAUUGGACCCAAACAUAGUCAAAAAGACGUGUCUUAAGGGCAUUCCCUAUCCAUGCAUCAGGAAAUGGGCACUGGGGAGCUGCAGUCAAGUAUACUUUUUUUCCUUUCUUGCCGUAUGCUGAAAGGAACCUUGCAAGAUCGUCCCAGUGUUGGUUUGUUCCUCCUUCAAUGUCAAAAUCAAUCCCAUCUAGAACAGCUGGUCCAAGUGGUCGAGACGACGAAUGACCCCCCAAGAAGUUAUUCCAAAGGUAAGUGGCAACCUGUCUAGCAUCCUCAGUAGAUGCAAGAUAAUAACUCCCAGCUCCUCCUCCAAUAGAAAGCAUCACCUUGAUGUCUUUGGCUUGACAUGAUUUGAUGUCAGAGCUUAAGCCUGUACAGCCAUUGCUGUAUGGAUCACAAUGGCCAGCGAGGUUAAGCAUAGGAGUCUGACCGUUGCCAAAAGUGGGCAAGAAAGCUAAGUUUACAAAUUGAUAGUUUCCUGUGGCACAAGUCUCAGCCAAGGUCCCUUCAUUUCCAUUCUGACCCCAAUAGAUUGCUAUUCCACCAGCAUCAGAACCCAAAAGCAGUGUUAAAAUCACUGACAAGAAGAAUAGUACUAAGCUUGAUGAACUUGAUGCCAUUCUUACAGAGAAGUAGAAAUAUUUUGAAGCACUAGCUAGUAUAUGCUUCUCAGGAUUUUCUGCUUUGGCACUACAACGCUCAAAAGGAUUUCCUUUUAUAGGCAAAAAUGAUCACAUUCUGAUUGAUACGAUCUUGGUCUUUGUUGAAUUGCGUGCCUCAGCAGUUGCUUCAUUACGCCUGAUAUGGAC